UAGCCUUCAACCGGAUUAUCUUACAUCCCAGAAGAAGUGUGUAUGGGAGCAAAUAAAUAGGGGUGACUCCAAGGGUCAUGGGAAAUUUCCCUGGUAUACAGAACAAUGUGAGAUAUGUCUAAGAAAAAUAUUUAGUUUCAUAAUUUGGGAAUAGGAUUUCAUUUAGCACUUUUGAAACAUGUGUCUAAAUCAGUACACAGCUAGCUCAGGAAAACAGUACUGAAGUGCCUGAGCUUUCAUUCAUUUCAUUGUUAGCUCUGAUGGUCGUUAGGUUCCCAAGCAGUGACAGAGCACGGAAGCUGCCUGGAUCAUGAAACACAUCCAUUCCAUUUCCUAGGUGUUGCAUGUGGGUUAUUUUGUUGUUUUUGCUGUGUGAUGUCCAGAAUUGGCCACAUUAUACUUUAAUUCUCCAUUUCCUUUAGGCUCAUAGGACUCUUCGCUGAAAGGAAGAUUUGAUGUUGUUUUGUCCAAUCCACCAUCUGGUGCUAAAUCUGUAUACCCUCCUUGAAUUUCCCAACCUGUUUAGCAAAUAGCAGAUUUUGAGGGAAACACUUUGUCUUAGUCUGUUUGUGCUGCUACAAAGGACUAUCUGAUUGGUAAUUUAUAAAGAAAAGAGGUUUUAUUGUUUGUUUGUUUGUUUGUUUCACUGUUCCGUAGGCUGUACAAGGAGCAUGGCACCAGCAUGUGCUUCUGGUGAGGGCCUCAGGAAGCUUCCGCUCUUGAUGGACAGUGAAGGGGGGACAGGCAUACAUGGUGAGAGGAAGGAAGCCAAAGGAAGAGAGAGGUGCCAGACUCUUUUCAACGACAAUUCUCAACAACUCACUCCCCAUGAGAAUGUCACCAAGCCAUUCAUGAGGUAGCUGCCCCAACAACUCAACACGUCUCCCACCAGGCUCACCUCCAACACUGGAGAUCAAAUUUCAACAAGAUACUUAAUGGUGCAAACUGCAUCCAAAUCAUAGCACAUUAAAUGAACUACCUACUUCUCUGUCACUCACCUUUGAGUUGCUGAAUAUCAGAAGGUUCCAGAUCUAGAUAGAUACAGCUCUAGACAGAUCCAGAUAAUUUUUCUGUAAGCCAGAAAAAUGGGGGCUCACCAUGAGACUACCUAUUGUAGAAACAUACGGCUUUGAUAUACAAGGAACCCUUUUUCCAGUCUGUAUGCUGUAUGCUUCUUCCCCCUCCCAUUUUUGUUCCUCCUAGAGGCUAACUUCCAAAGUUCCUACUAAGCCUUGAUAAAGCAAGGUUUGAACCCUGUGAGUAUUCCUGCCCCAGGUGCUGGUCAGAUGAUGGUCACAGGACAGACUCUCCUACCCAAACCUUAGCAUGAUAGUAAAAACCUUAGCACCGCCAUUGACUAUUUCACUUCUGACUGGCAGUUUCUGAGAAUCCCUUUACUGUGAUUUUUGAAAUAAUCUGAUGCCUUGAUUUUCUUGAUAGAACCUAAAAUAUAGCAUUUGGAGCAUGUGUCCUUUUUAGAACCACAUUAAUAAUGUAAAUACCAGUCAUCGUAUUUAUGGCACAGAGUUCACCGCUAGCAGUUUAAAGUCAGAAGCGUAGAAAGAAAACCAUGUGAGUUUUUAUCCAGCUUCUACCACUUGCUGAUGGCAUUACGUGACCUUAAGCAAAUAAACUUCUUGGUUUCCUAAUCUACAAAAUGGGAAUAAUACAAAGACAUGUUAAGUGCCAUGGGCAACGCUCAUCCACAGUGUAAGUGUGAGAUGAGUAUGGGCUAUUGUUGCUAUUAGUCUUGAAUAAACUAUGAUGAGAAGGCCAUCCCUGACCAUUGCCACCCAGGUGGUGAAAAGCUGAACCCAAGCAGAGUUCUCAACCUUCUCUGUACACGCUAUGGACGCUGAAGACAUUUCACAGAAUUGUUACACUAGACCCUGCACUGUUUACCUUUAGCCAAAUCUACUGAGCUUUACUCUCAUAAAUAGAUGACAAGCAAUUACAUCUUAAAAGAGAUCUUCCGUGGUGUCCUCUUACGGUAAGCAGAUGUUGGCAUCAGGAAAUUGUCUUGCAUCUUAAGUCUUUUGUAUUGCAGCUUAAACCAAUUUCCUUAUUCUGUUCUUGAUGAAGAGGAAAAGCCUCUGCUCACUAGAUUCUGUAAAUAAUGAGUUGGGUAGGGACAGAGGCAGGAAAUGAGAACGCCCACCUUGAGCUAGGAGAUCAUCAUUUUGCAUCCAGUUUUCUCCCAGGCAGCAAAGUGAGCCCAGUUACUAAGUGCGUGCACUUUUGGGCCUCACAUCUGGAUUAAAAUCUUGCCUUUGCCACAUACUGACCAUGAGAACUUGGGCGAGUUACUGAACCUUUCUGGGACUCAGUUUCUUCAUCUGUUAAAAUGAGGUAACAACAGUACUUACUGCAUAGUGUUGACAAGUAGAUUUAUAAAAUCA
Molecule: long non-coding RNA, 2399 nt
Filed under: Homo sapiens (human)
Lineage: Eukaryota; Metazoa; Chordata; Mammalia; Primates; Hominidae
Description: HSALNT0041433
Source: RNAcentral